CAGCCGCCACGGGAAUACGUAGGUGGCAAGCGUUGUCCGGAAUUAUUGGGCGUAAAGCGCGCGCAGGCGGAUCAGUUAGCCUGUCUUAAAAGCUCGGGGCUUAACCCCGUGAUGGGAUGGAAACUGCUGAUCUAGAGUAUCGGAGAGGAAAGUGGAAUUCCUAGUGUAGCGGUGAAAUGCGUAGAUAUUAGGAAGAACACCAGUGGCGAAGGCGACUUUCUGGACGAAAACUGACGCUGAGGCGCGAAAGCCAGGGGAGCGAACGGGAUUAGAUACCCGUGUAGUCCCUGUCUCUUAUACA
Molecule: ribosomal RNA, 301 nt
Filed under: uncultured bacterium
Lineage: Bacteria
Description: partial 16S ribosomal RNA
Rfam family: Bacterial small subunit ribosomal RNA
Source: RNAcentral